AAGGAAGGACAGAAAUCAGUAAGUACUGCUAAUACUUACGCCCAAGGUUAAAAUCCUUGGCUUCUUUA
This 68-nucleotide transfer RNA is filed under the name Hybopsis lineapunctata (lined chub). RNAcentral's name for it is "tRNA-Ser". Lineage: Eukaryota; Metazoa; Chordata; Actinopteri; Cypriniformes; Leuciscidae. The record is from RNAcentral.